GAGAGGUUCUCUCGUUAAAUGUUAAUAAAAAUAAAUCAAAACCCAAAAUUAUUAGGAGAACUGGCUCUGUGGAGAAAGUUUUGGGAACCGGCUCUCUGUCGUCUCUCUCUUUUGUACGUAUCACCAUUGCGAGUUCGUUUCACCAAAUCGGAGACCCAAUUAUAUAUGUUUUUGUCCCCAAUCCAACCUCCCACCAAACCCUCGCUUCGUUCUCUCGAAACAAUUGGGUUCUUCUUUCACCGCCGAUCCAAUUAUCCCACCGCCGAAUCAGAUCGUCAUCGUUAUCAGUGGUCCGAGCGGAGUUGGCAAAGACGCAGUGAUCAACAAGCUUUGUCAAGUUCGUGAAGAGAUUAGGCAUCUAAAGAACUUUGAUUACGUUGUGGUGAAUGCGAAAGGGGGCUUGAUGAUGCGGUUAAUCGCGUGGAAUCCAUUAUCAAUGCUGAGAAAUCGAUAGUUCAUCAAAGGAUUGUCAGGAUUUGAUGUGCAGUGUUGUUGAUUCGGAUCCCAUAAAUGUUGUAAAGGGAUUUUGAAGAAGAAGAGUUAGUUUGUUUGGGUGCAAGAUCCAUUAGUGACAAAAGGAGGAAGCUUGAUACCUCUUUUUGGGAGCACGCCUACUACUUGCAGUUCAAAAAGUUAGCUCAAGCUUAUGAAGUUCUUAGUGACCUGGAGAAGUGGGAGAUUUAUGACCAGUAUGGAGAGGAUGCACUCAAGGAAGGAAAUUGUGGUGGAGGAGGUAGACAUGAUCCAUUUGAUAUUUUCUCAUCCUUUUUUGGUGGAAGCCCGUUUGGUGUAGCUAUGUUAAUAGCUAUAUGUAUCCUAGGUUCAUAAUAAUAUGAAUUAGCUGAAGCCUGAACUUUACUUUGCUGUCCUAAGCCGGUGGUUUUGUGAGCAACAUGCCACACUUUGAACCUUAUACAUGAUUCUUCAUUGAAAAACCAUGUAUUGUAACCAAACAAAAAUACAUAAAUAUGUAUUAUUUUACAAA
Arabidopsis lyrata subsp. lyrata is the source of this 985-nucleotide RNA transcript. It is a transcript of the gene named chaperone protein dnaJ 3, with no coding region annotated. NCBI's taxonomy places the organism in Eukaryota, Viridiplantae, Streptophyta, Magnoliopsida, Brassicales, Brassicaceae. The record is from RefSeq and is a predicted model, not a curated record. The transcript has 4 exons.